UACGUAGGUGGCAAGCGUUGUCCGGAAUUAUUGGGCGUAAAGCGCGCGCAGGCGGCUUCUUAAGUCUGAUGUGAAAUCUCGGGGCUCAACCCCGAGCGGCCAUUGGAAACUGGGAGCUUGAGUACAGAAGAGGAGGGUCGAAUUCCACGUGUAGCGGUGAAAUGCGUAGAUAUGUGGAGGAACACUAGUGGCGAAGGCGACUCUCUGGUCUGUAACUGACGCUGAGGCGCGAAAUCGUGGGGAGCAAACAGG
Molecule: ribosomal RNA, 252 nt
Filed under: uncultured bacterium
Lineage: Bacteria
Description: partial 16S ribosomal RNA
Rfam family: Bacterial small subunit ribosomal RNA
Source: RNAcentral